This 403-nucleotide long non-coding RNA is filed under the name Sorghum bicolor (sorghum). RNAcentral describes it as "long non-coding RNA (SBIC_LNC011043)". The record is from RNAcentral. Lineage: Eukaryota; Viridiplantae; Streptophyta; Magnoliopsida; Poales; Poaceae.
GUUUAGUACCCUAUCUUUAGUAACUUGUCAAGGUUUGGUGCAUUUUGAAGUUUUUUUUCUAUAUUUUUUCAUUUAGUUGCGACUCGUUCCAUUUUUUCCGACGAAUUCGAUUUGAACUGCAGGUGCAUGGAAUAAUAGUGUCCUAUGGUUACAACGUUGCUAUUCUUGCUUGUGUGGAUGCAAUUAGGUCAAAUCCAUGUCCUGGCAGCAACUGUCGAUGAGCGUGCUCGCGGGGCAACGCUUCCAACUUGCGUGCGCGGGGUUUUUUAAUUAUAAAAAAAUCAAAUGAACUCGGAAAACCACGAAACUUGUCCACCGUCCUUGAUAUGGUAUGGGAAGGCUAUGAUAAAAAUUUGAAAAAGUUUGGAGCAAGUUUGCACGUCGGACGUUCAGAAACCCAACA